CCCUCCUACGCGUCACCCCCUCCAUCCAGCAUUUUUGCACACUGGCUGUAUGGCGGGGACUGUGUGAGGUGCCGGGGAUACAGUGAUGAAUGAGAGACAGGCUCCUACGGCAAAGAGCUCACGUGCUAGCUUCAGGAGACACAUAAGCAACGGGCAAACAGCGCACAAGAGUGACUGUAACGAUGCAUUGUGGACAAAGAACUAUGAGCAGAUAGGAGGGGUGGAGAGACGAGGAAAGAAGAAAGAAGGCGAGAACAGCUCCAGAACAGUGCGUGUUUGUCACAGGGCUGAAGUACUGGUCUUUAUCCAGAAGCAGCAAGAUGAUUAAAGAAUGGAAAUGGGUCAAGGGUGAAAUGGAUAACGAAAUCUGGCCAAGAGAUAAGCCCAGGGCAUUGCUUAGUGACGAGGAGUCAAAGUCUGGCCCAGAACCUCGCGCGGGGCAGCUCGGCGUGGUAAGCUCCCACCGAGUGCACACAUGCCCCAGUGGAACAGCUCCCUUUCCAUGUCACUCGUUGGUGAACCAUCACGGGGCGGAGGGUGUUAUGUGCUUGUCAUAGUGGAGACAGCCUUUCCAGUUGGGUAAAAACAGUGACUUUCAGUGGCGGACAUACUAAUUCUCCUAACAAUAGAGGCUUCAGACCUUCCUGGGUGAUGGCACAGAGAUUAGAAAGACAGGACGAUAAUGGGGUUUUAGAAGCCCAAACAUUCUCUUUGUACCCAGUGCCCAUUACCAGUAGCCAGAUGCUGUGUUUGAGUACCAUUCCUAGCACCUUUGAUGUUUCUCUCCACUGCAUUUAGUUCUCUUUGUCCUUCCUCUGGCCCGCCUCUGCGGCACUGUUCCGUGCCGUCAGGCCUACACCUACACGGAUUCCUAGAUUGGAGGAAGGCCAACGCUGGAGCUCAGGCUGGC
Long non-coding RNA from Mustela erminea (ermine), 910 nucleotides. RefSeq lists it as uncharacterized. NCBI's taxonomy places the organism in Eukaryota, Metazoa, Chordata, Mammalia, Carnivora, Mustelidae. The transcript has 3 exons. The record is from RefSeq and is a predicted model, not a curated record.